RNAcentral lists this ribosomal RNA (133 nucleotides) under Canis lupus dingo (dingo). Lineage: Eukaryota; Metazoa; Chordata; Mammalia; Carnivora; Canidae. The record is from RNAcentral.
GUCUAUGGCCAUACCAGCCUGAACGUGCCUAAUCCCGUCUGAUCUCAGAUGCUAAGCAGGUUUGGGCCUGGUUAGUACUUGGAUGGGAGGAGGGAACCUUCCUCCCCUCAAUGGGUAGAGGGAGCAAUUGAAU